Molecule: long non-coding RNA, 1664 nt
Organism: Arachis stenosperma
Lineage: Eukaryota; Viridiplantae; Streptophyta; Magnoliopsida; Fabales; Fabaceae
Exons: 3
Source: RefSeq, a predicted model, not a curated record
AGAGAAAAAUUUAACAGAUCCUCUUUCAAUCACCGUCGUCAUUCUCUCUUUUUCUCCUUCCUCGAUUACUCGUUUUCUCCUCCACCGUGCUUGCUCUACUAGGGUUUUUGCCCCUCUUUCACUCACUGUUGCUUGCUCUAUGAUCCUCUUCAUCCGUAGUUUCGCUCUUUCUCUGAUCCUCACAGCCGCAACACGGUUCCGCCGCCUCCGCCGCAACACGGUUCUGCCGCCGUAUCCGUCGCCGCACCCGUCGCAACAGGGUUCGGCCGCCGCACCGCAACACUCGGGUCCACCAUUUCAUUGGUUUUUGCCGCCACUUUGUCCUAUUCUUCACCAGCGACUCUGAUCUUUGUCCUUCUUCCUCAACCUCUGUCUUUGCGACCUACUCCUUUAAGAUUAAGGGUGGACAAGAAGUAGAAACCAGAACAUGAUCUUCACAUACAUGUAUUUAAGAGGUAAAAGGGAGAUGAUACGACUUCCAUUGGAGACCAAAUUGGAGACUGUGGAGAUCGCUUAGACUGGGGCUUUGUCAAAACUUCUAAUGCGCCAAUGGCUUAACAUGACCACCUAUUUGUUCGUUUACCAGGUUCGGCACGAAAUCAUAAAUAAGCUCUACCAAGGAUUGCCAAGCAUUGGGUACUGACUUUCCUCCACCCUUUUUAGUCAGAUCGCUGGCCCUUGUCUUGGCGAGUAACCUGUACCGUUAGCUUUGCCAGCUGUAACCGAUGCCACAAAGGUUGAAAACUGAGAUUCCUUGAUGCCGUUCACUUGACGUGAGGUCAUUCCUUUCCAUUCUUUCAAGGCAAGGGGCGGCCUGAUUCGACAUUGUUGUUUACUCUGAUCUGGUCGAGGUGGUUUUCGUUUACCAGCGUGUGGAAAGUUUUCAAACAACAAAUGAAAGACAUGCUUCAUCAUAGUAAUCAAAGGGUAUCGGGUUGAAAAAGCCUAGUGCUUCUCUUUAUACGUUUUCAUGCCAGAUUGCAUAUGUAAACAGGAAAAAGCAAGUAGAAAUUGUAGCUCUAGGAAAUGUAUGGUGUUUUGAGUGUAAAUAUAUGGCCUUUAGGAACACGUUCAAUACCUGUAAUUUAUUUUUGUAUCAUUUAGUUCGAUUUUCUUUUUUCUUUUUAAAUGUGGUAGAGUUAUUUUAAGUAAAGUAUAUAAAAUGGCCACGAAUUAAGUGUUAAUUGUUAUUUUCAUUUAAGCUGAACAAAUGGCACUUAAGUGUACAUUAAAUAAUUGUAAACCUACACAGACACGUUCUUGAUUCCUGAAUGUUGAUUGCUUCAUGAAUCAUUCUUGGAUCCCCGCUGACUGCUGAGCUUAGCAUGGCAAUUUGAUUGCAUGAAGGCUAUAUUGAAGACCUAUAAUUUUGGUUCUUGAUUUACCAAUUAGAGGUAAUCGAUAUUUGCAUGAGGCAUCUACAUGACUACUUCCAAUAAUGGCAUUUUGAGUUUUGAUCUUAUACAUUGCAUUGGAUUUUGUGGUAAAAGUUUGUGGAGUGGCAGCAUGAUAACAUUUUCAGGUUGCACUGUAUAUUGUUACAGCUACAAUUACAGCUAUAUAUAAUGCUUUGUUUCAUUGACCCAAUUCUAGGCUCUAGUUAUAUUUUCCAUUGAUUUGGUUUGAUUGUCUGAAUGAUAGUAGUUUAGUAGUACGAAAUUGUG